Thamnophis sirtalis is the source of this 1658-nucleotide non-coding RNA. The record is from RefSeq and is a predicted model, not a curated record. Lineage: Eukaryota; Metazoa; Chordata; Lepidosauria; Squamata; Natricidae.
CGCUAGGGAUUCAAACCGCUGAACUGCCAACCUUUCUGAUCGACAAGCUCAGCAUCUUAGCCAUUGACCCACCACAUCCCUUAUGAGCUAAGUAGAGAAUCAGAAAUCCCACUGAGCCAGAGUCCCACUUAAUAAAGCAAACUACCUACUAAUAUUUGCAUGGAAAUAAAGAAAAUAUAGGAAAUCUGCAGUUCAGCUGCAAGUUCAAUAUUAAUUUAUUUGAAAUGUUGAAUAUCUAUUUGUAAUAUAAAGACUGAAAUUUGCCUUAUUAUAAUAUCAAUAUAGUUUUAUUCUUUCUUAUUCUCUAUUCCCAGAUGAUAAUUUUACUUGGAUGUUAGUCCAUUUUAAUAGGGUAGAAUUUUUUUUCUAGAUAAGGUACAUUAAGUAAACCUAUGGGCCAACCUUUCUAAUUUUUUAUGGCUAUCUCUAUUCUUUAAUUUAGGGGAAACGAUGUUUAAAGGGAAUUCUAAAAUAGAGGUCUGAUUCAGUUUUUCUUCAACUUUAUCCCCCACUUUCCCUCCUUAGCUGUCACCCACAUCUUUACUAUUUAAUGUUGUAUUUAGUUAGGGCUCCAGUAAUAUAUAGUUUGGCAAAAUAUAUGUUCUCCCUUAGAGUAUUUCGGCUGAAAUGCUGAUAUCGCAUGAAUAAACCUGCAAGGCUCAAGUGUUCUCUCUUUUAUUGCAAAUAACUCAAGAAGGAUCCAGACUGCCUGCUCUCAAAUCUGACCUUCUAUUCCCAAGCAGGAAGUUGACUGAAAAUCUACCAGCGUCCAUAUUAGAGCAGGUGAUACUGAUUUAGAAUCAGCUUCCACUAAUCUAUCAUCCUUCACAUGACUUAGAACUGAAGCUCCAUAUCAUCAUCAUCUUCUUCUUUAUAGGGCUGAAUAUUCUACUGUCGUGGUAAAUAGCCUGAUAAACCUUUAAGACUUCAACGCUACCAUCAAAUUACAAUUAAAAAUGUUAUAGAAGGGAAGAAUUGCUAAAUGGAGGGGAUAAAUAAUAUUAAUCAGAUUUAAUUGUAUUUAUAUUUAAUAAAAUCUACAUGUUAAUGAAAUCAUACAUUUAUUACAUUUUGGUUCUCCCGUCCUCUUGUUUGAACAGGAUUACUACAGAUCAGUUGCAGAUCAAAACAUGUAUUUAUUUCUGUCUUCCAAAUAUAUAAUGAGAUAACUCGAUAGAAAUGGGUUUAAGGAAAAAUGGCAAUGGCUUAUUCAUUUUUAAAAAUUCUCUUCCUCUUUUCCUCUCCAUUAAUAUUUUCUGCUUAAUUUCAGAUCUCCUAAACAAUAUUUGUGGAGCACACAGGGCUAUCAGCUGAUCCCCAAAGAGUAUUAUACUGAUUGGUGGUAAAUUUCUAAAAUAGGAGAAAAGUAUGUUUUGCCUUAAAAUGCUAAUAUAUUAUCGUAAUAAUACCUGAGCAAAUAGUACUACAGAUUUUAAUUUUCCAAGGGAGGAAAAUAGUACAUCUUAGCAGUCAUUCAAUUCCACUGACUUAGAGACUGCUCCUUUGGCGUCACAGUUUUUUAAAAAAACCUACUCAAAGUAAUAUGUUAUGACUAAUUUUAAUUACUCAAGUGAAACAUCCUACCUGCGUUUCACAUCAAGAGUGACUUUUGGACCUGAAAUUCCUGCUUGGCAAUGAACAUAAGGCAAAAAAAAAAA